This 497-nucleotide ribosomal RNA is filed under the name uncultured bacterium. RNAcentral describes it as "partial 16S ribosomal RNA". It matches the Rfam family "Bacterial small subunit ribosomal RNA", at positions 28 to 507 of the family's 1533-position model. The record is from RNAcentral.
GAUGAACGCUGGCGGCGUGCCUAAUACAUGCAAGUCGAGCGAACGGACGAGAAGCUUGCUUCUCUGAUGUUAGCGGCGGACGGGUGAGUAACACGUGGAUAACCUACCUAUAAGACUGGGAUAACUUCGGGAAACCGGAGCUAAUCCCGGAUAAUAUUUUGAACCGCAUGGUUCAAAAGUGAAAGACGGUCUUGCUGUCACUUAUAGAUGGAUCCGCGCUGCAUGAGCUAGUUGGUAAGGUCACGGCUUACCAAGGCAACGAUGCAUAGACGACCUGAGAGGGUGAUCGGCCACACUGGAACGGAGACACGGACCAGACUCCUACGGGAGGCAGCAGUAGGGAAUCUGCCGCAAUGGGCGAAAGCCUGACGGAGCAACGCCGCGUGAGUGAUGAAGGUCUUCGGAGCGUAAAACUCUGUUAUUAGGGAAGAACAUAUGUGUAAGUAACUGUGCACAGCUUGACGGUACCUAAUCAGAAAGCCACGGCUAACUACGUG